GAUACAACAGAUGGUGACCCCGACGUGAUUUCUGGGGGUUUGCUGGAGGGCAAGUCGGGGCCGGUCCCCGCAGCCCCGCCCGAGGCGGCGGCUUCGACACCAAGAAGGGAGGAAGUUCGGCAGGGAUCGUCGGACCGCAGGGACGGAGAGGCUCCAUCCCCGCCUCCUUAUCCAGCUCAGGGUUUAUAUCCUUCGUUGAAACCCUUCAGGGAUGAGGGGGGAGGGGGAAGUGCGGAGGAGUGUAGCAUAGCCUGCUCAACACCUGUUAAGAGGGCAGUGGGGGAGGGCGAGCUGGCCGGAGAGGGUACGGCGCGGCUGGUGAAAUGUGAGAGCGGGGGCGGUGCUUCCUUGCUGCCUGACUCUGUUGCCGCGGCCGCUCCCAUAAGGGGCUGGAAUGUUCACUCCGUCUUGUGAAGGAUGUGGGUGUGGCGUCCCGGUGCGAGCAGCCUCGGGAUUCACCCAGGGAGGGCGGGAUCCUGCAGUGACUGCCUCAUGGGCCGCACCUACACUCACUGACUGCGCUAGGGCGAGGGAGGAUUUACGAACCGCUUACGGUCCGACAACUACGACAUUCGCCCUCCCUGUAGUAGUAAAAACAGAGGGUCCAGCUUGGACCCCUCUGGACUCCAAGGCAAUUACUCGCCUUGCGGAUUUGGUUAAAAGUAAAGGUCUGCGCUCUCCUGUGACCAUGUCGGCAGUAGAAGCUCUUAUGGCUUCUAGCCUCCUGCCGUAUGAUGUGAUCAACCUUAUGUGUGUCAUCCUUGAACCUGUACAAUAUACCCUGUGAUAUGAUGAGUGCAAUCGGCCACUUCACCAUUCCACACGUGCCUUAUAGGGGUACCUUUGAAUUUUUCUACUGAUAGGUUGCUGUUUUUGGGAUAUGUAGAUAACAUAACUGCUUGCGAAAAGUACUUUACUUCAGGUGCUAAUAUUUCAGCUUGCCUGAUCCGCAUGCUCAAUACAUCACUUUCGUGGGACCCCCUGAAUUGCUGCUUAUGGGUUCUCAGAGCGUAGGUUCAGAGGUUCAGAGGGAUGCAUAUGUUUUGAACAAUUUGCCUUACAAGGAUCGCUUUCCCAACGUGGGAUUGCGCAGGAUCUCCUUAAGAGGGGUAGGCCUUUGUUGUGGGACUCCAGCCGUAAUAGAACCAUCCCACACACGCUUGUUAACCCGCUGAACAGUGAGGUGUUCAGGUGGUCUGGCCCGUACUGUGGGUACGUGGUAAAUCGUACUCGGCAGUGGUAUAAUUUCAAAACCGCGAAUGGGUGGAAAGGUUCCCUGUGUAACAAUUGUACAUUGCCAGAGCAGUGGUGCAAUAUCACCACAAGUGACUGUUGCUGCAACAUCACACAAUCUUGGCCGCAGGGAGGGUACGGAUACCCCCGCAGGAGGCCACAAUAUAAUGUCACCACCGGAAAACUAUGGAAAGGUAAAUUUGAUGAUAAUGGUCUGGAUAGGAGUAAUGAGAGAGUUAGUGUUGUCGGAGGUUCAAAGAUGUUACCACCAGGGGUGUUCCUGGUAUGUGGUGACAGGGCUUGGCAGGGUAUCCCGAGGAUACCGGUGGGGGGACCAUGUUACCUGGGGAAAUUAACCAUUCUAUCACCAAGCAUCUCUGAGUGGGUACAAUUGGUCAGGGACAUGAGUAGAGGGACUCGGAAAAGGCGAAGUAUUCACACCCUAGGAUCAGACUGCGGUGACGAGGUACACCUUUGGGGACCAACGGCACGAAUAUUUGCAUCCAUCCUGGCUCCGGGAGUAGCCGCAGCUCAAGUGCUUAAGGACAUAGAAAGACUAGCUUGUUGGUCCGUGAAACAGGCCAACGUGACUUCCGCGCUCCUAAGCGAACUACUCAUGGACAUUGAUAGCCUUAGGCAUGCUGUGCUCCAGAAUAGGGCGGCGAUCGACUUCCUACUCCUGGCACAGGGUCAUGGAUGCAACGACUUUGAAGGGAUGUGUUGUUUCAAUUUAAGCGAUCACAGUGAAUCACUACAUAAGAAGUUACAACUGUUAAAGGAACAUACAAAAAAGAUUGGAAUACAGGAAGAUCCCUUCGGAAAUUGGUUGGACAAUUUGUUUGGUGGGAUUGGGCCAUGGCUUAAGCAGUUGCUUAAAGCGUUAGUAAUAGGGCUGUUUAUAUUUUUGGGGUUAAUGUUGUGUUUGCCAUGUAUCUUUCAAUGUUUGCGAGGUUGUAUACAACGAAUGACUGAGAAAAUGAUCUACACGCAAUUGGAAUAUUGUAGAAUGCAGGAUAAGUUCUAAGAUGUAUGUUGUUUAGGUUUAGCACAUUGCGUAUUGUAAUGGGGCAAGGCUUCUCUUGGCAUGGGGAGGGGGAAAUGUUGUAUUAGGCGCUUGCGCCAUCUUCGGGUUGUAACGCGUUAGGACCUCCCCCUCCAUAUAUAAGCACGUGUUUGUUCCAUAAAAGCGCCAUUUUGCUGUUCACCAUAUCGGUGUCACCUCGGUAAUUGGCCAAGCUGCGGUCUCCCAGGAAAAGCGAACGGGUGAAGGAUACAACAGAAAGGAAAGGAGUAGUUUUACAUUGAAGAUGUGCAUCUUGCAUACGUACCGACUACCGUUGGCUCCAGGUCCACAAACACUGCUCUGGGAACAUGUUUACCAGCUCCCGUCUCAUUGAAGAAAGUGUUAAAUGAAUCAUCUCUGCCUCCAAUAGUUUUGUCACUGAGCAUGUGACCAUCAGGCUGGAUCCCAUGUUCAAGACAAUACAAUUGCCAGCACGCACUGCCAAGCUGAACACCGGCCUGACCAACAUGGAUGGAUAUGCAUUCACGCUGCAAACAAAAAAAAGGACAAUGAUAACGUGAGAUCUGGGGCUAUCCGUCACUUAGAUUUCACUCUCAAAAUAACUUGCUAUCUGUGGGUUAUACUGUAGUGAUCUUUCCCUGCUGCAUUAUUACCUCGGCUGCUUGAGUGACAAUUAAAAUGAUCCAACAGUC
Lagopus leucura (white-tailed ptarmigan) is the source of this 2949-nucleotide long non-coding RNA. RefSeq lists it as uncharacterized. Lineage: Eukaryota; Metazoa; Chordata; Aves; Galliformes; Phasianidae. The record is from RefSeq and is a predicted model, not a curated record. The transcript has 2 exons.